Molecule: ribosomal RNA, 492 nt
Filed under: uncultured bacterium
Lineage: Bacteria
Description: partial 16S ribosomal RNA
Rfam family: Bacterial small subunit ribosomal RNA
Source: RNAcentral
AGUGAACGCUGGCGGUAGGCCUAACACAUGCAAGUCGAACGGCAGCACAGUAAGAGCUUGCUCUUACGGGUGGCGAGUGGCGGACGGGUGAGGAAUACAUCGGAAUCUACUUUUUCGUGGGGGAUAACGUAGGGAAACUUACGCUAAUACCGCAUACGACCUACGGGUGAAAGCAGGGGAUCUUCGGACCUUGCGCGAUUGAAUGAGCCGAUGUCGGAUUAGCUAGUUGGCGGGGUAAAGGCCCACCAAGGCGACGAUCCGUAGCUGGUCUGAGAGGAUGAUCAGCCACACUGGAACUGAGACACGGUCCAGACUCCUACGGGAGGCAGCAGUGGGGAAUAUUGGACAAUGGGCGCAAGCCUGAUCCAACCAUACCGCGUGGGUGAAGAAGGCCUUCGGGUUGUGAAGCCCUUUUGUUGGGAGAGAAAAGCAGCAGGUUAAUACCCCGCUGUUCUGACGGUACCCAAAGAAUAAGCACCGGCUAACUUCGUG